Phycodurus eques (leafy seadragon) is the source of this 1363-nucleotide long non-coding RNA. RefSeq lists it as uncharacterized. NCBI's taxonomy places the organism in Eukaryota, Metazoa, Chordata, Actinopteri, Syngnathiformes, Syngnathidae. The transcript is spliced from 3 exons. The record is from RefSeq and is a predicted model, not a curated record.
UUGGACAAAGUACAGCAGGCCCAAGAAGACGAGUUUGUUAUUCAUGAUCUAGCUCCGAACGUGCAGCGGUCCAUUGGUCAGGUUGUAGUCGUCAUCGUUUUGGAGCAGACGGAAAUGACCUGAAAUGGUAGGAGUCGUAUGACAUUCAUGGUUAAUGACGCUGGCAUUUUCGUUGAGCCAUCAUACAGUCUAGUAUAGGUAGUAGGACGCUCAAGUCCAACUGGAUUUGACCCAACACCGGCCGGUCGGCAGGAAUAUCGCUAACAUUAGCCAUGUAUAAUAUCAUAACCACGCGUGCCCAGCAGUGUGUGAAACAUUGACGUCAUGGAAAAACUUUCCGCCCGAGCAUACCACAGGAAGGGAAAAAAGGGGAAGAAACACGGCGGUUGGCCUUAGCGACUUACUGACUCAUCGGGCAUGCCCAGAUAGACUGUCUGCAUCAUGAACUCCCGGAUGAAAGACAUGGCGAGGCUGGCGAGGCUGGCGAGGCUGGCGGGCGGCACGACUCUGCCGAGUGAGGACACAGAAGAGAGUCAAUCUUUUGGGGGGGAACAUAUAGGAAACAACCGUCUGUAAGAUCAUUUGUAAAAAAAAAAAAAAAAAAAAAAAAAAAUGUGAAAACUGCAUUGAAAGGCAAUAUUUCCAAAACAAUCCCAAUUUGAAAAGUGCCUUCCCCACAUAUGUGAGCGUAAGCUUUGGCUCAUGUCCAGUCGGCGGAUGUCGAUUAUAGGAGGAUAGUUUUCCACGAUGGCAACGUUGUGGAGGCCGCCUGGCCACACCCACGCUCACCACCGACACGGACGGCAGUUGCGGCCUCUUCGGAUCGAUCGCCUUUUUCAUGCAUUAUACGCACACGAGCUUAUGAAUGCGUAACAGCACAAAAGUGGCGCCUUUCCGGCCACACCCGCACCGAUGGCGCAGAGGGAGAAGGGAACGUUCAUGCAUUUGCGGCGAGCAGAAAGCGUUCGUGCGUUUUCAAUGUCCGAGAGAGAAGCGGGACAGCAUUCUUGAGAUUGGUGAUGUCAGCGACGGGUCUUACCGUGUGGCUGUGAAGGAGAGAGACGUUGAGGUGGGAGUGAGCUUUGCAGGGGGCGCUCGACGAGCAGAGGGAUUGGAUUUAUACCCGUGGCAAACUCCACCUCGAGGCGAGCCCGGCCCAUCGCUCCCCUCCCUCCUCGCCCGCCUGCAAUCCUGAGCUGCAGCCAACGUGGAACAGAAGCAAACAGAACGACGUCAUCUUGAUGGGAGAGAAACACUCGUCUGUUGUACAUUUACUCUUUGUAUUCAGCUCAGUAGCUUGAGUUCCUGUACAUGCGCACCAUCAGUUGUGGCAGCAACACACAUUUGCCUUCAAAAUGUACGU